GAGAUUAUGUACUCCACUCCGAUUACCUAGUUUUGACCGAACAUUUUUUUAUACGGGAGCUUGCCCUUUCCUUUCUGCAUAAAUGCCCUCAUUAGAGGCACUUAUAAAGUCAGGAAGAAAGCACCCACCUGCCAUGGUGCGGGGUUCAAAACGAAGGAAAGGAGGGGAAGAAAUAAGAAAGAUAU
This 185-nucleotide non-coding RNA is filed under the name Chlorella vulgaris. RNAcentral's name for it is "6S / SsrS RNA". It matches the Rfam family "6S / SsrS RNA". From Rfam's summary of the family: E. coli 6S RNA was the first non coding RNA to be sequenced, but its function was unknown until recently. It consists of 184 nucleotides that fold into an extended hairpin structure with a large single-stranded internal bulge. Lineage: Eukaryota; Viridiplantae; Chlorophyta; Trebouxiophyceae; Chlorellales; Chlorellaceae. The record is from Rfam by way of RNAcentral.